Molecule: small RNA, 102 nt
Filed under: Klebsiella oxytoca
Lineage: Bacteria; Pseudomonadati; Pseudomonadota; Gammaproteobacteria; Enterobacterales; Enterobacteriaceae
Description: partial RtT sRNA
Rfam family: RtT RNA
About the family: This family represents a bacterial cis-regulatory element known as RtT RNA. The exact function of RtT is unknown although it is thought that it may be involved in changing the cellular response in relation to amino acid starvation.
Source: RNAcentral
UUCGAUUAAGGUUCGAGUCGAGCGUCAGCGAGACAACGUUGCCGCAGGCAACGGCCCGAAGGGUGAGGAGCGAAGCGACGAAUAAUCCUUCCCCCACCACCA